UCGAUUGCUUCAAAUUUUCGUUCGCGUAGCCAUGUCCGUUCUUUUCUCCGUUUCGGUUGACUAUUAAGAUCGCUUUCCACUGUUUCCUUUUGGCUUCCGUUCAGGUAUGCAAACGUUUGUAUUCAACCGUUUGUUUUCUUAUGUUUCCCUUUAGCGUAAUCUGCUUCAAAUUCAACAUUCAAUAUUCAGGUUUGCUAUAUUAUUUCAAGUUUUCGAAUCUUCAUCUGAAUCUUCAAUCUUCACUCUUUUUAACUACAGGUUUACUUCGCUGUUUUCAAUACCUUCGAUCUUUAAUUUUCUGUUCGUUUUCAAGUCGGUGAGUUAUUCUAUUUUCUUCUUUGGAUUUUUCCCUAUUCUCACAUUUUCUGCAGGUAGAUAAAAAAAUACCCUGUCCUUAAAUUUUCUUCUUAAGAUUUGUCCCGUGUUCUAACAUUUUCUGCAUCUAUUUUCGAUGUUCUUCUUGACUGGUGUUUUUCUAUUUUCAAAAUAGAGUACUAACUUUUUUUCCACUUAAAUAUUAAAUUUAUAGAUACAGUUGAAUGAAUAUUUUAUAUUUUAUUUGUUUAUUUUAAUAUGCCUAAAAUAAAGGGCAUAAAAUGUGAACAGAUAUGCCAUUUAUUUUAAGAAGAUUAAGUGGGAUUUUUUUGUGUAAUUAUAAAUAUAUAUUGUUCUUAUAAAUUUUAGAGAAUAUAAAAAUGAAAAAGGGAAAGGGAGAGGUUAGAACAAGAACAAGUGAUCGGUUAAGAUCCGCGGAGAUCACUGGUUACAAGAAACGAUUGUCAACUGUAAUUCAAACUCUACCGAGUUCUUCUGACGAGAGAACAAAAAAUAUAAGGGCAGAGGGAUCGGGGAGCAAGCGAGAGAGUCCAAGAACUUAAAAAAAGAGGAGGAUGAUUGAACCGCCAAAACAAGACGUCAAUGUAUAAAAGAAACAGAGGAUAAAAAGCUUGGUUUCAAGAAGGCGAGUUUACAGAAGGAAGGGUGGAGGAAAGAAACAAAAAGAGAUUGAAGGAAAGAUAUGUGUUCCCCUUUAUUAUAUAGAUUGAUUAUAGUUUUGACAAACAGCAAGAUACUGAAAGCGAAAGCGAAGAGGAGGAACAAGUAGAAGAAGAUGAGCAACAAGAAGAAGAUAAACAAGUAGAAGAAGAAACACGAUGAUGAAGGGGAAGGUGAGACAACAAUAGAUGAAGAUUCGAGUUCAUCGACGAGUGAACAAGAUGAAAGACCAACGGAUACUAAGAAGAGAAAAAAGACUGAGGAAAAUGGAAAGAAAGUAGGCACAUAAUUUGAUAAAGUGUUUAUUAUUUUAUGUAUUGGCUAUAAAUUUUGGUUUUAUAAAAUAGGUGAAGGCUAUUAAAAAGAACAAAAGGCAAGAGAAGAUCAAAGGAGGAAGGGAAAAGCAUCCAUGAAAUCAGAUAAAUCUGAGCUUGAAGUGUCCCACAUGCUCGCUACACCAAUUGAAGUUGGAAUCUCAUAUUUUGCACCAUUCCUGGAGACAGAAAAAGAUAUAUACAAAGAAGCAAAGGAUGAGCUUCGAAAGACCCAAAAUUCUGACCGCGUAGCCCAUGUUUCGCUGAAUAGAGGCAUGCCCUCUACAAGUGGGAUUGAUGGCCUGACUAGAAUGGUAAAAAAGAUUAAGAAGAGCCAAAAGAGGAUGAAGACAAGUAUGGAAGGGAGCAAGGGCGUUUGAAGAGCACCUUGACAAGGUGGAGGAGGACCAAGAAGAAGAUGACAUUGAAGAUUUAAACUUGGGUUCAAGCAAUCCAAAGGUGCUUGGAAAAAUGGAUAAUGAUGAAGACAAAGAUGGACAAGGGCUCAUGGAUGAAAGUCGAACACAAACUUCCAGAGGGCAAGAUGGUGGACAACCUAAAAUGACACAAUCAGGCACACAACCAACAACUGGAGAUAAAGAUUGUUUGCCAUAUAAGGCCACGGAGGAAACCGAGGAGGAGAUAAACAGGCUGAUACGGUCAAUCAAUGAAAGUGUUAUAUAUGAUGAAAUGAAGAAAAAAGAAGACAACAGGGAACCUAGGUAGUUCAUUUUCAAAUUUGAGGAUGCUCAAUGAUAGGAGAGACUUCUUUUUAUUUCUUUUGAGGGACAAAUGCGUUGUCUAAAACCCAUCAGAGAUUUUUUGUAACUUCAUCCCAAGAAAGGAGUCUUGGAACACUAACAGAUGAUUUAUUGAGAUUUUUUCUAUCAACAUAGUUUUUCCUUUA
Long non-coding RNA from Cucumis melo (muskmelon), 2217 nucleotides. RefSeq lists it as uncharacterized. The transcript is spliced from 6 exons. NCBI's taxonomy places the organism in Eukaryota, Viridiplantae, Streptophyta, Magnoliopsida, Cucurbitales, Cucurbitaceae. The record is from RefSeq and is a predicted model, not a curated record.